AAUAGAUACCCAGGUAGUCCACGCUGUAAACGAUGAAUGCUAGCCGUAGGGGUGCAUGCACUUCUGUGGCGCCGCUAACGCAUUAAGCAUUCCGCCUGGGGAGUACGGUCGCAAGAUUAAAACUCAAAGGAAUUGACGGGGGCCCGCACAAGCGGUGGAGCAUGUGGUUUAAUUCGAUGCAACGCGAAGAACCUUACCAGGGUUUGACAUGUCCAGAAUUCUUCAGAAAUGGGGAAGUGCCAUUCUCAUACAAGAGAAAUGGAACUGGAGCACAGGUGGUGCAUGGCUGUCGUCAGCUCGUGCGUUGACGUGUACGGUUAAGUCCUGCAACGAGCGCAACCCUGUCUUUAGUACCUUCAUGGUUCUCUAAAGAGACUGCGCGCGCAAGCGCUGAGGAAGGUGAGGAUGACGUCAAGUCAGCAUGCCCCUUAAAUCCUGGGCGACACACGUAAUCAAUGGCUGAGACAAUCAGAAGCUAACUCGCGAGAGCAUGA
RNAcentral lists this ribosomal RNA (494 nucleotides) under uncultured bacterium. RNAcentral describes it as "bacterial SSU rRNA". It matches the Rfam family "Bacterial small subunit ribosomal RNA", at positions 777 to 1268 of the family's 1533-position model. The record is from RNAcentral.